GGCUUCACAGUGCAGUGGUUAGCACAUCUGCUUUGCAUGCAGAAGGUCCUGGGUUCCAGCCCCAAGUGGAGCCA
RNAcentral lists this transfer RNA (74 nucleotides) under Pteropus alecto (black flying fox). It matches the Rfam family "tRNA". From Rfam's summary of the family: Transfer RNA (tRNA) molecules are approximately 80 nucleotides in length. The record is from Rfam by way of RNAcentral. Lineage: Eukaryota; Metazoa; Chordata; Mammalia; Chiroptera; Pteropodidae.